AUGGUUCUCAUUAGAAAACGACAAUCUCACCUUCCUCCUGGCCCAAAGGGCCUCCCCAUGGUUGGGUGCCGCCACAGGCUAGGCAGCAGACCGCAUGAAACCCUCGCUACAUUUGCGGAGAUCCAUGGCUCCCUCAUGACCUUGCAGCUUGGAUUUGUGACAACAAUUGUCGUUUCAUCAUCUAAGAUGGCCAAGGAGGUGUUAUAGAACAACAACCUUGCCUUUGCGGAGUGCACAGCCAUCGAAGCAAUGAAGAUUAAGUCUCACCAUAACGGGUCCCUAGUGUGGGCUCAAAUGGGUCCUCUGGGAAGCGAUACUAGCUCCACUAGUGUGGAGUGGGCAAUGGCCGAGCUCCUUCACAACCCUGACAAGAUGGCCAUGGCUAAGAUGGAGCUCUCAAGGACCCUCGGUGGUCCACAACACAUUGUGGAAGAGUCGGACAUAUCUCGACUCCCUUACUUACAAGUUGUGGUGAAGGAGACAUGGUGGCUCCACGCCCCCGUACCGCUUCUCAUCCCCCAUAGGGCUGAUACGACUGUAAAUGUGGCCGGAUACAUAGUGUCGGAACAUGCACAAGUGUUGAUCAACUAUUGGGCCAUUGGAAGAGACCCUAAAGUGUGGGACAAUCUGACAACCUUUCUUGCCGGAAAGAUUCUUGGGAUCCAAUGUGGAUUACAAGGGCAAUGAUUUCCAAUUUAUUCUGUUUGGCGCAAGGCGGAGGACAUGCCCUGGCCUUCCUCUUGGGGUUCACAUGGUCCACUUGAUGCUUACGUCUUUGUUGCAUUAUUUCGAUUGGGAGCUUCCUGAUGGACUGAAAGCAGAGGAGAUGGAUAUGAGGGAUAAGUUUGGGGUCACCUUGCAAAAAUUGGUUCCACUUCGACUGAUCCCUCGUCAAGGCUCGUGA
Molecule: non-coding RNA, 904 nt
Organism: Amborella trichopoda
Lineage: Eukaryota; Viridiplantae; Streptophyta; Magnoliopsida; Amborellales; Amborellaceae
Source: RefSeq, a predicted model, not a curated record